Molecule: ribosomal RNA, 255 nt
Filed under: uncultured bacterium
Lineage: Bacteria
Description: partial 16S ribosomal RNA
Rfam family: Bacterial small subunit ribosomal RNA
Source: RNAcentral
UACGGAGGGUGCGAGCGUUGUCCGGAAUCAUUGGGCGUAAAGGGCGCGUAGGUGGCCCGGCAAGCGUGCGGUGAAAGUCGGGGGCUCAACCCCCGAUCGGCCGUGCGAACUGCGGGGCUGGAGCACUGUAGAGGCAGGCGGAAUUCCGGGUGUAGCGGUGGAAUGCGUAGAGAUCCGGAAGAACACCGGUGGCGAAGGCGGCCUGCUGGGCAGUUUUGCUGACACUGAGGCGCGACAGCGUGGGGAGCAAACAGG